GCCAGUGUGAGGGACGGGAAACAGCUGCUUCAGGACGGCAAGUUCCCCGCCACUCCCUCCUCCCUUGGGGAGUGGGGGUGGGGGGGAUGUCAGGGACCCAGGCUGGACAGAGGUGGCGAGUGGGCCCAUAUACCCAGCCGUGGAGCAAAAUGAGUCAGUAUGCAGAAUCUGACCAGAUGAGUUUUUAA
RNAcentral lists this long non-coding RNA (188 nucleotides) under Bos mutus (wild yak). RNAcentral's name for it is "lncRNA (ENSBMUG00000025789.1)". Lineage: Eukaryota; Metazoa; Chordata; Mammalia; Artiodactyla; Bovidae. The record is from RNAcentral.